This 477-nucleotide ribosomal RNA is filed under the name uncultured organism. RNAcentral describes it as "partial 16S ribosomal RNA". It matches the Rfam family "Bacterial small subunit ribosomal RNA", at positions 330 to 798 of the family's 1533-position model. The record is from RNAcentral.
CGUACACUCCUGCGGGAGGCAGCAGUGGGGAAUAUUGCACAAUGGGCGCAAGCCUGAUGCAGCCAUGCCGCGUGUAUGAAGAAGGCCUUCGGGUUGUAAAGUACUUUCAGCGGGGAGGAAGGCGAUAAGGUUAAUAACCUUGUUGAUUGACGUUACCCGCAGAAGAAGCACCGGCUAACUCCGUGCCAGCAGCCGCGGUAAUACGGAGGGUGCAAGCGUUAAUCGGAAUUACUGGGCGUAAAGCGCACGCAGGCGGUCUGUCAAGUCGGAUGUGAAAUCCCCGGGCUCAACCUGGGAACUGCAUUCGAAACUGGCAGGCUAGAGUCUUGUAGAGGGGGGUAGAAUUCCAGGUGUAGCGGUGAAAUGCGUAGAGAUCUGGAGGAAUACCGGUGGCGAAGGCGGCCCCCUGGACAAAGACUGACGCUCAGGUGCGAAAGCGUGGGGAGCAAACAGGAUUAGAAACCCGAGUAGUCCCAU